RNAcentral lists this transfer RNA (66 nucleotides) under bovine gut metagenome. The stretch from base 5 to 62 matches the Rfam family "tRNA", at positions 8 to 63 of the family's 71-position model. Rfam says of the family: Transfer RNA (tRNA) molecules are approximately 80 nucleotides in length. The record is from RNAcentral.
GGCUUAGCUCAGUUGGCAGAGCAGCUGAUUUGUAAUCAGCAGGUCGUCGGUUCGAGUCCGACCGCC